UUUUACUUGAUCCGUCUGGUAUAUAGGUGGGAAGCCUAAUUUUUGUAUCAUUUAACAUGGAGGACCAGAAUUUCCAAUUGGUUGUGACAUAUGUUCUCAUUGUUGUUAUGCUUUCAUUUGGCGAUCUCUACUUGACUAUAAAUUUUUCAUGGUUCUUUGUCUUUUAAGAGGAUCUAAUUUUCGCAUUGGUUUCAUGUUGGGGUCAGGGGGAAUAUCGAUUGUGUGUAGAUGUGGUGGAGAUUAUCAAGGACAUGGACUGUGAAAGCACAAAUUUGAACUUACAGGGGAGAUAGCCUAUGAAUGUAAUGUGGGAUUGAAAGUUGCGACGACAGGCCUCACUAUAAAACGGGUUAUGUUCCCCCUUAACUGUACUUGUUCUUGAAAGUCGUUGUCUUUGAGAUGGUGUCAUGUGGCGAUGUUUAUUUUUGUGAUUUUAUCAGGAAUUUUCCAUACUAAUAUGAUGGGUAGAGAACAACAAACAACUCUAGAUAAAUCCAGAUUUUUCUAAUAGUUGUGCUCCUUUAUUAUUUUUUCAUUGGUUUGAUCGCAUGUAUUAUGAAACCUGUUUUCUGCUGUGUUGUAGUUUUCUUCAAG
This 594-nucleotide long non-coding RNA is filed under the name Trifolium pratense (red clover). Its description in RNAcentral is "long non-coding RNA (TPRA_LNC003156)". Lineage: Eukaryota; Viridiplantae; Streptophyta; Magnoliopsida; Fabales; Fabaceae. The record is from RNAcentral.